GAACUUUGGCCUCAGGAAAAUAAUUUUUCCCUUUACCUUUCUAAUGUAACAUUUGUUCCCCUUUCUACAUCAAUUCAUGGAUCUCUGUUUGAGUCUGUCCAAUGCCACUCUUGUUACCCAUUAAGAGUCAGAUAUCAAGUCUUUUCAUACUACAUCUAAAUCUUCAACUUCCUUCCCCUUACAUUUCAUGCGUUCUUCCAUCCCGGCCCUGUCCUGGACAUUGCUAUCAAGAUCUCAUUGAUGAUUGUUAUCAACACCUCAUCCUGCUUCUGCCACCACCGGCCCCAUCUAACACUGCUCAGUCCACUGCUAGUGGAAGACAGCC
Molecule: long non-coding RNA, 325 nt
Filed under: Homo sapiens (human)
Lineage: Eukaryota; Metazoa; Chordata; Mammalia; Primates; Hominidae
Description: non-protein coding lnc-OR1A1-2:1
Source: RNAcentral